The sequence is a transfer RNA, 73 nucleotides long. It matches the Rfam family "tRNA". From Rfam's summary of the family: Transfer RNA (tRNA) molecules are approximately 80 nucleotides in length. Their secondary structure includes four short double-helical elements and three loops (D, anti-codon, and T loops). The record is from Rfam.
GGCGAGAUAGCUCAGUUGGUAGAGCAGGGGACUGAAAAUCCCUGUGUCGGCGGUUCGACUCCGCCUCUCGCCA